UCGGGUCUGGAUCUCUGAUGGGAUUUCUUCCCGCAAAACACCACAAUAAUGUGCUUGACGGCCAAAAGACAGAGAAGAUCUACCCCAAACAUAAACCAUUGCAAGUGCAGAAGUCACACGACGUGGUGAGAACUUGAUGUCUGCCUUUCACUCGCACGGACUGAAAUGUCUAGACAUCCAAAUUAAGGAGUGACCAAUCACCAACAGACCGAUCCCUCUGCGUACAAGGAAGAAUGAGACGCUGCAGACAACAGGCCUUAACAGUAAUGGCACCACUUCAAAGGACCUGACUUGCCUUCAACUACAACGUGACUU
This 315-nucleotide long non-coding RNA is filed under the name Columba livia (rock pigeon). RNAcentral describes it as "partial uncharacterized LOC102094082". The record is from RNAcentral. Lineage: Eukaryota; Metazoa; Chordata; Aves; Columbiformes; Columbidae.